This 254-nucleotide ribosomal RNA is filed under the name uncultured prokaryote. RNAcentral's name for it is "partial 16S ribosomal RNA". It matches the Rfam family "Bacterial small subunit ribosomal RNA", at positions 522 to 776 of the family's 1533-position model. The record is from RNAcentral.
AAUACGUAGGGGGCCAGCGUUGUCCGGAAUUAUUGGGCGUAAAGCGCGCGCAGGCGGUCAUUUAAGUCUGGUGUUUAAUCCCGGGGCUCAACCCCGGAUCGCACUGGAAACUGGGUGACUUGAGUGCAGAAGAGGAGAGUGGAAUUCCACGUGUAGCGGUGAAAUGCGUAGAGAUGUGGAGGAACACCAGUGGCGAAGGCGACUCUCUGGGCUGUAACUGACGCUGAGGCGCGAAAGCGUGGGGAGCAAACAGG